GCACUUCGGGAUAAGCCUGGGAAACUGGGUCUAAUACCGAAUAGGACCAUAAGGCGCAUGCCUAUUGGUGGAAAGCUUUUGCGGUGUGGGAUGGGCCCGCGGCCUAUCAGCUUGUUGGUGGGGUGACGGCCUACCAAGGCGACGACGGGUAGCCGGCCUGAGAGGGUGUCCGGCCACACUGGGACUGAGAUACGGCCCAGACUCCUACGGGAGGCAGCAGUGGGGAAUAUUGCACAAUGGGCGCAAGCCUGAUGCAGCGACGCCGCGUGGGGGAUGACGGCCUUCGGGUUGUAAACCUCUUUCACCAUCGACGAAGGUCCGGGUUUUCUCGGAUUGACGGUAGGUGGAGAAGAAGCACCGGCCAACUACGUGCCAGCAGCCGCGGUAAUACGUAGGGUGCGAGCGUUGUCCGGAAUUACUGGGCGUAAAGAGCUCGUAGGUGGUUUGUCGCGUUGUUCGUGAAAUCUCACGGCUUAACUGUGAGCGUGCGGGCGAUACGGGCAGACUGGAGUACUGCAGGGGAGACUGGAAUUCCUGGUGUAGCGGUGGAAUGCGCAGAUAUCAGGAGGAACACCGGUGGCGAAGGCGGGUCUCUGGGCAGUAACUGACUCUGAGGAGCGAAAGCGUGGGGAGCGAACAGGAUUAGAUACCCUGGUAGUCCACGCCGUAAACGGUGGGUACUAGGUGUGGGUUUCCUU
Molecule: ribosomal RNA, 698 nt
Filed under: uncultured Mycobacterium sp.
Lineage: Bacteria; Bacillati; Actinomycetota; Actinomycetes; Mycobacteriales; Mycobacteriaceae
Description: bacterial SSU rRNA
Rfam family: Bacterial small subunit ribosomal RNA
Source: RNAcentral